Molecule: unclassified non-coding RNA, 240 nt
Filed under: soil metagenome
Description: partial contains 5.8S ribosomal RNA, internal transcribed spacer 2, and large subunit ribosomal RNA
Source: RNAcentral
AACCUAGCACACCUGCGGUGUGUACCUGCGGAGGGAUCAUUAACUAUGCGAAAGCAUAUUCCCGCCCGCGGCCUCGCGCCGCUGUGGUGACCACCCUUUGUGAACCUUUAUUUUUUGCUUCGGCAGUUCGCCUCCCGCGAGGGUCGCGGUAAAGCUGCCGACAGCCCACACCAUAAACUAUUUUGUUACCAGAAAUCAUGCAGUCUGAUUUACUUUAAUAUAAAAGUUAAAACUUUCAAC